UAGGAACGCGCGCACAUACAAAUCAAUAGACGGACGACGGAGGAAAAGUUUGUCCCAUGGUACAACUUGAGCGCAAUGGAAUAGUCGGCCAACCCACUUGUAUACAUACCAACGUGUGGCUACUGCCAGCUACAGUAAGGGCAAAGCUCUCCAUCGUUUGUACCUCGAUAGUGUUUGUGUGUUUGUUUUGGUUAGAAAAUGGAAUUAGUUACGGCUGAAGAUCGGUUUGAAAAGUUAAUUCGUGCGGUAAAAAAUAGACCAGCUUUAUAUGACAAGUUACUGAAAGAGUACGGGGAUAAAGAUGGGAACAGAAGACAGUGUAUGAGGUGAUGCUCCAUAAUUUGACUCAUUUAGGAUUUGGAGAACGAGCGUGUGCAGGUAUGGACAUCCACAAUAGGUGAGCUGGAGACGUGUUUCAAGAGAGAAUUAAAUCGACAAAGAAAAGUCAUGGCAGGACAAGCAACAAAGAAACGAAGCCACUUCAUCUAUUACGACCAGCUGUUGUUCCUGUCGACCGUAGAAAACAGGAAAAAACGAUAAGUAACGUUGAAGAUCUAAAAAAAAACGGCGGGAGAAA
Molecule: long non-coding RNA, 577 nt
Organism: Homarus americanus (American lobster)
Lineage: Eukaryota; Metazoa; Arthropoda; Malacostraca; Decapoda; Nephropidae
Exons: 2
Source: RefSeq, a predicted model, not a curated record